CGCGUAGCAAUACGCGAGUGGCGCACGGGUGAGUAACACAUGGGAAUCAACCCUGAGGUUCGGAAUAACCGCGGGAAACUGCGGCUAAUACCGGAUGUCCCCUACGGGGGAAAGAUUUAUCGCCUUGGGACGAGCCCGCGUCCGAUUAGCUAGUUGGUGAGGUAAUGGCUCACCAAGGCUACGAUCGGUAGCUGGUCUGAGAGGAUGACCAGCCACACUGGAACUGAGAUACGGUCCAGACUCCUACGGGAGGCAGCAGUGGGGAAUAUUGGGCAAUGGAGGCAACUCUGACCCAGCCAUGCCGCGUGGGUGACGAAGGUCUUCGGAUUGUAAAGCCCUUUCGGCGGAGACGAUGAUGACGGUAUCCGCAGAAGAAGCCCCGGCUAACUUCGUGCCAGCAGCCGCGGUAAUACGAAGGGGGCUAGCGUUGUUCGGAAUUACUGGGCGUAAAGGGCGUGUAGGCGGUCCGCUAAGUCAGGUGUGAAAGGCCUGGGCUCAACCCAGGAAAUGCGCCUGAGACUGACGGACUUGAGUCCGGGAGAGGAUGGUGGAACUCCCAGUGUAGAGGUGAAAUUCGUAGAUAUUGGGAAGAACACCCGUGGCGAAGGCGGCCAUCUGGACCGGUACUGACGCUAAGGCGCGACAGCGUGGGGA
RNAcentral lists this ribosomal RNA (654 nucleotides) under uncultured soil bacterium. RNAcentral's name for it is "bacterial SSU rRNA". It matches the Rfam family "Bacterial small subunit ribosomal RNA", at positions 69 to 767 of the family's 1533-position model. The record is from RNAcentral.